This 85-nucleotide small nucleolar RNA is filed under the name Stegastes partitus (bicolor damselfish). Its description in RNAcentral is "Small nucleolar RNA SNORD100 (ENSSPAG00000018190.1)". It matches the Rfam family "Small nucleolar RNA SNORD100". From Rfam's summary of the family: The members of this family belong to the C/D class of snoRNAs which contain the C (UGAUGA) and D (CUGA) box motifs. Most of the members of the box C/D family function in directing site-specific 2'-O-methylation of substrate RNAs. Lineage: Eukaryota; Metazoa; Chordata; Actinopteri; Pomacentridae. The record is from Rfam by way of RNAcentral.
UGCAUCAGUGAUGAUAUGUUGGCUCCCUCUACUGAACUCUCUGUGGAAACCCGCCAAUCGUUACCCAAUUUGUGUCUGAGAUGUU